UUCUACAGCCACACCACCCUUAAUAUGCUCGACCUCAUCUGAUCUUGGGAACCUAAGCAGUGUCAGGCUUGGUUAGUGCUUGGAUGGGAGGCAGGAAGGAAGCAGGAAGAAAGAACAGUGGCAU
This 124-nucleotide ribosomal RNA is filed under the name Peromyscus maniculatus bairdii (prairie deer mouse). Lineage: Eukaryota; Metazoa; Chordata; Mammalia; Rodentia; Cricetidae. The record is from RNAcentral.